UACGUAGGGUGCAAGCGUUAAUCGGAAUUACUGGGCGUAAAGCGUGCGCAGGCGGUGAUGUAAGACAGAUGUGAAAUCCCCGGGCUCAACCUGGGAACUGCAUUUGUGACUGCAUCGCUGGAGUGCGGCAGAGGGGGAUGGAAUUCCGCGUUUAGCAGUGAAAUGCGUAGAUAUGCGGAGGAACACCGAUGGCGAAGGCAAUCCCCUGGGCCUGCACUGACGCUCAUGCACGAAAGCGUGGGGAGCAAACAGG
RNAcentral lists this ribosomal RNA (253 nucleotides) under uncultured bacterium. RNAcentral's name for it is "partial 16S ribosomal RNA". It matches the Rfam family "Bacterial small subunit ribosomal RNA", at positions 524 to 776 of the family's 1533-position model. The record is from RNAcentral.